Non-coding RNA from Pyronema domesticum, 101 nucleotides. The record is from the annotation of a GenBank genome assembly. NCBI's taxonomy places the organism in Eukaryota, Fungi, Ascomycota, Pezizomycetes, Pezizales, Pyronemataceae.
GCCCAAAUGGUCUAGUGGUAUGAUUCUCGCUUCGGGUUUAACCCAGUUACUGAGUAACUCUGAUAUGUGGGAGGUCCCCGGUUCAAACCCGGGUUUGGGCC